This is a non-coding RNA of Bos taurus (domestic cattle), 56 nucleotides long. NCBI's taxonomy places the organism in Eukaryota, Metazoa, Chordata, Mammalia, Artiodactyla, Bovidae. The record is from Rfam.
UGGCUCAGAGGUUAAAGCGUCUGCCUGCAAUGCGGAAGACCUGGGUUCGAUCCCUG